GCGCUUAUUGCGCGGCGAAAAACCUUACACACAGUGUUUUUUGUUAUUACAAGAACUUUUGCUUUGGUCUGGACUAGAAAUAGUUUGGGCCAGAGGUUUACUGAACUAAACUUCAAUAUUUAUAUUGAAUUGUUAUUUAUUUAUUUGUCAAUUUGUUGAUUAAAUUCAAAAAAUCUUCAAAACUUUCAACAACGGAUCUCUUGGUUCUCGCAUCGAUGAAGAACGCAGCGAAAUGCGAUAAGUAAUAUGAAUUGCAGAUUUUCGUGAAUCAUCGAAUCUUUGAACGCACAUUGCGCCCUCUGGUAUUCCAGAGGGCAUGCCUGUUUGAGCGUCAUUUCUCUCUCAAACCUUCGGGUUUGGUAUUGAGUGAUACUCUUAGUCGAACUAGGCGUUUGCUUGAAAUGUAUUGGCAUGAGUGGUACUGGAUAGUGCUAUAUGACUUUCAAUGUAUUAGGUUUAUCCAACUCGUUGAAUAGUUUAAUGGUAUAUUUCUCGGUAUUCUAGGCUCGGCCUUACAAUAUAACAAACAAGUUUGACCUCAAAUCAGGUAGGAUUACCCGCUGAACUUAAGCAUAUCAAUA
This 581-nucleotide ribosomal RNA is filed under the name Debaryomyces sp. Z8Y26. Its description in RNAcentral is "eukaryotic LSU rRNA". The stretch from base 181 to 334 matches the Rfam family "5.8S ribosomal RNA". The record is from RNAcentral. Lineage: Eukaryota; Fungi; Ascomycota; Pichiomycetes; Serinales; Debaryomycetaceae.